Molecule: non-coding RNA, 87 nt
Organism: Arxiozyma heterogenica
Lineage: Eukaryota; Fungi; Ascomycota; Saccharomycetes; Saccharomycetales; Saccharomycetaceae
Source: the annotation of a RefSeq genome assembly
GGUUAGUUGACUGAGUGGUUUAAAGUGUGAUAUUUGAGCUAUCAUUAGUUAUAUUUAACUACGUAGGUUCGAAUCCUACACUAUCCG